This 330-nucleotide ribosomal RNA is filed under the name Triticum aestivum (bread wheat). RNAcentral describes it as "partial small subunit ribosomal RNA". Lineage: Eukaryota; Viridiplantae; Streptophyta; Magnoliopsida; Poales; Poaceae. The record is from RNAcentral.
AUGUUGAUUAGGAAGUUUUGUUGGGGCGGUAAGGAUGGGCAAAGGAAGCCAAGCUGGGUAUCCUGGGAGUUGAUGACAUAGCCAAAAGGAAUGUGUGGCCUAGGUUUUAAGGAUUUUGAGGUUUUUAGUCUUUCUCUCUUGGCCAGGCGGGCUUGGUGUAUUUUGCAAAAUCUCGAAACAUUGAGCUUGAGAAUCUUGAAAUAUGUUUACUUCCCCUCUUCAUCUAUAUUGCAGGCAGUAGUGAGAAUCCACCCAUCUCGGAUUUGGAGAGCUAUAUUGGAGGGAAGGGGUAUACUUCAGUAGGGAUUAAUUAAAUGGAUUGGGAAUUAA